AUGCACUGGAGGCGCGUCUCCCUCGAGCACAUGAAGAGGAGGCAGGGGACGAGCUACAGGAGCUCCAUGGUGGAGGUCAUGGCAGGUUGGGCGGCGCCAGAUUGGGUAGAGGAGGUGCAGGGCGCACGGAUCCAGGAGGGAGGCGCCGGAUCUGGCCGGUGGAGGUCCCGUGGCGGCGUUCGAACCUCCAAGGUGAGCUCGAGCACUGGGCAUGGGGGUCCAUGGUGCUGGCGCUGUGCUCCUAGAGAGAAGGAGGCAAGGAGAUUAGAGAGAGAGAGAGAGAGGGGGGGAGAGAAAAGGUAG
RNAcentral lists this ribosomal RNA (303 nucleotides) under Triticum aestivum (bread wheat). RNAcentral describes it as "partial small subunit ribosomal RNA". Lineage: Eukaryota; Viridiplantae; Streptophyta; Magnoliopsida; Poales; Poaceae. The record is from RNAcentral.